This 358-nucleotide transfer-messenger RNA is filed under the name Desulforapulum autotrophicum. Its description in RNAcentral is "Standard tmRNA". It matches the Rfam family "transfer-messenger RNA". From Rfam's summary of the family: Bacterial tmRNA, also known as 10Sa RNA or SsrA, is named for its dual tRNA and mRNA-like properties. Its role is to liberate the mRNA from a stalled ribosome. Lineage: Bacteria; Pseudomonadati; Thermodesulfobacteriota; Desulfobacteria; Desulfobacterales; Desulfobacteraceae. The record is from RNAcentral. RNAcentral also lists the same sequence under 1 other name.
GGGGGCGAAAAGGCUUCGACGGAGAUUACGAGGCUUUUGGUUGCAUACCGAGCUUUCUGCUAACUCGUAAAACUGGCGGAAAAAAAAGUAAUCGCAGACGAUUAUAAUUACGCUGUAGCAGCUUAAGGCCGCUACCGUCCUGCCGGGAUUCUUCCUGCAGAUUCUGGUAAAGGGCGUCGACUAUGUGGGAAAGCUUGAAAAGGGUGCCUGACCCUUUUUCGGUUAAAUUUUUCAGGCUAUACUGGUCAGUAUCCAUCCCGGAGGAGACAUUCCAGUAAAAUUUAAAAUUCGGGAUAAGUAUGUAGAGACCAUUGCUAACUGUUUUCGGACGCGGGUUCAAUUCCCGCCGCCUCCACCA